RNAcentral lists this ribosomal RNA (253 nucleotides) under uncultured bacterium. Its description in RNAcentral is "partial 16S ribosomal RNA". It matches the Rfam family "Bacterial small subunit ribosomal RNA", at positions 524 to 776 of the family's 1533-position model. The record is from RNAcentral.
UACGUAGGGUGCGAGCGUUGCCCGGAUUUAUUGGGCGUAAAGGGUGCGUAGGCGGUUUGGUAAGUCUCGUGUGAAAUCUCCGGGCUCAACUCGGAGCCUGCACGAGAAACUGCCGGGCUUGAGUGUGGGAGAGGUGAGUGGAAUUCCUGGUGUAGCGGUGAAAUGCGUAGAUAUCGGGAGGAACACCAGUGGCGAAGGCGAUCACCUGGGGUUGUUCUGACGCUGAGGAGCGAAAGCUAGGGGAGCAAACGGG